GACGAACCGUGCGAACGUUGUUCGGAAUCACUGGGCUUAAAGGGCGCGUAGGCGGGUGUGCAAGUCUGUGGUGAAAGCCUCCAGCUUAACUGGAGAAGUGCCAUGGAUACUGCACAUCUUGAGGAGGGUAGGGGCAUCUGGAACGGUCGGUGGAGCGGUGAAAUGCGUUGAUAUCGACCGGAACUCCGGUGGCGAAGGCGAGGUGCUGGACCCUUUCUGACGCUCAGGCGCGAAAGCCAGGGGAGCAAACGGG
This 253-nucleotide ribosomal RNA is filed under the name uncultured bacterium. RNAcentral describes it as "partial 16S ribosomal RNA". It matches the Rfam family "Bacterial small subunit ribosomal RNA", at positions 524 to 776 of the family's 1533-position model. The record is from RNAcentral.